UGUGUAUCUCUGUAUGUCAGGUGUAAGUCGUCCUAAAGUGAUCGUCCUGCCGCCGUCCAGUGAAGAGAUUUCCAUCAAGAAGACAGCAACAGUGAUGUGUGUGGCCAGCAAUGGUUUCCCUUCAGACUGGAGUCUGAGCUGGAAAGUGAAUGGGAAGAUGUCAGGAUCUCAGGAGAACAGAGCUGGAGUCCUACAGAAAGACGGCGGUCUGUACAGCUGGAGCAGCAGUCUGACUCUCACUGAACAAGAAUGGAUCAACAGAGACUCAGUGAUCUGUGAGAUCAGUCGGGAAGGUCAGACAGUCACUGGAGAAGUGAAGAAAGAUCUGUGUUCUGAGUAGAUCCUCUCUUCUUCUCAUCUCUUCUUCUCAUUCAUGUCUCACAUCAACAGUGAACAACUAUUCAUACAACACUCUGUGUCUCUGAUUUAUUCAUUCUGUCUGAUUCUAAUAAACUUCAAUAAAAGUGAAGUAACAUUA
This is a non-coding RNA of Misgurnus anguillicaudatus (oriental weatherfish), 478 nucleotides long. The record is from the annotation of a RefSeq genome assembly. Lineage: Eukaryota; Metazoa; Chordata; Actinopteri; Cypriniformes; Cobitidae.